Molecule: ribosomal RNA, 472 nt
Filed under: Lactiplantibacillus plantarum
Lineage: Bacteria; Bacillati; Bacillota; Bacilli; Lactobacillales; Lactobacillaceae
Description: bacterial SSU rRNA
Source: RNAcentral
ACGCGUUGGGAGCUCUCCCAUAUGGUCGACCUGCAGGCGGCCGCGAAUUCACUAGUGAUUGGAAACAGGUGCUAAUACCGCAUAACAACUUGGACCGCAUGGUCCGAGCUUGAAAGAUGGCUUCGGCUAUCACUUUUGGAUGGUCCCGCGGCGUAUUAGCUAGAUGGUGGGGUAACGGCUCACCAUGGCAAUGAUACGUAGCCGACCUGAGAGGGUAAUCGGCCACAUUGGGACUGAGACACGGCCCAAACUCCUACGGGAGGCAGCAGUAGGGAAUCUUCCACAAUGGACGAAAGUCUGAUGGAGCAACGCCGCGURAGUGAAGAAGGGUUUCGGCUCGUAAAACUCUGUUGUUAAAGAAGAACAUAUCUGAGAGUAACUGUUCAGGUAUUGACGGUAUUUAACCAGAAAGCCACGGCUAACUACGUGCCAGCAGCCGCGGUAAUACGAUAAUCGAAUUCCCGCGGCCGCC